UGAGUCUUCCAUGCUUGUCUCUCGGGGCCACAAAACGAGUUCCUGGUAACUCCACUGAUAAUGCCCUGGGCGAAAGUCCCCGGGCCUAGGAUAGAAAGUAUCAAGGUGUAGAAAGUGCAUCACACACUUUGUUGAGUGAGUUUUGCAUUCGCCUAUAUUCUGCGGAAUUUCGCCUGGCGUACGGAUGAAGAGGUUUUUUUCCGAAUCCUUACGCGCCAGGUCGUCUGCGGAAAUCUGCCAGAGUAUCUUAGAUAUGGACGAGUUGGUAGGACUCGCCGGGCGGAGUUCACGCUCUUCUCGGCCGAGAAACCGCCUACACAGAAUGGGGCUUAAAUUGGGAAACUU
This 345-nucleotide RNase MRP RNA is filed under the name Drosophila yakuba. RNAcentral's name for it is "RNase MRP". It matches the Rfam family "RNase MRP". From Rfam's summary of the family: RNase MRP is an enzymatically active ribonucleoprotein with two distinct roles in eukaryotes. The record is from Rfam by way of RNAcentral. Lineage: Eukaryota; Metazoa; Arthropoda; Insecta; Diptera; Drosophilidae.